UACGUAGGGGGCAAGCUUUGUCCGGAAUUACUGGGCGUAAAGCGCGUGUAGGUGGUGGGACAAGUCUGCUGUGAAAGCGCCUGGCUUAACCGGGCGAGGUCGGCGGAAACUGUCCGACUCGAGGACGGUAGAGGGGGGUGGAAUUCCCGGUGUAGUGGUGAAAUGCGUAGAGAUCGGGAGGAACACCUGUGGCGAAGGCGGCCCCCUGGGCCGGCCCUGACACUGAGACGCGAAGGCGUGGGGAGCGAACGGG
This 253-nucleotide ribosomal RNA is filed under the name uncultured bacterium. RNAcentral's name for it is "partial 16S ribosomal RNA". It matches the Rfam family "Bacterial small subunit ribosomal RNA", at positions 524 to 776 of the family's 1533-position model. The record is from RNAcentral.